AUACGUAGGUGGCAAGCGUUGUCCGGAAUUAUUGGGCGUAAAGCGCAUGUAGGCGGUGCCUUAAGUCUGUCGUGAAACUGCGGGGCCUAACCCCGUAUGGCGAUGGAAACUGUGGCACUUGAGUGCAGGAGAGGAAAGGGGAACUCCCAGUGUAGCGGUGAAAUGCGUAGAUAUUGGGAAGGACACCGGUGGCGAAGGCGCCUUUCUGGACUGUGUCUGACGCUGAGAGGCGAAAGCCAGGGUAGCGAACGGGAUUAGAUACCCCGGUAGUCCUGGCCGUAAACGAUGGGUACUAGGUGUGGGAGAUAUCGACCCCUUCCGUGCCGGAGUUAACGCAAUAAGUACCCCGCCUGGGGAGUACGGCCGCAAGGCUUAAACUCAAAGGAAUUGACGGGG
Molecule: ribosomal RNA, 396 nt
Filed under: uncultured bacterium
Lineage: Bacteria
Description: partial 16S ribosomal RNA
Rfam family: Bacterial small subunit ribosomal RNA
Source: RNAcentral